Molecule: ribosomal RNA, 434 nt
Filed under: uncultured bacterium
Lineage: Bacteria
Description: partial 16S ribosomal RNA
Rfam family: Bacterial small subunit ribosomal RNA
Source: RNAcentral
AGCGAACGCUGGCGGCAGGCCUAACACAUGCAAGUCGAACGAACCUUUCGGGGUUAGUGGCGGACGGGUGAGUAACACGUGGGAACGUGCCUUUAGGUUCGGAAUAACUCAGGGAAACUUGUGCUAAUACCGAAUGUGCCCUUCGGGGGAAAGAUUUAUCGCCUUUAGAGCGGCCCGCGUCUGAUUAGCUAGUUGGUUGAGGUAAUGGCUCACCAAGGCGACGAUCAGUAGCUGGUCUGAGAGGAUGAUCAGCCACAUUGGGACUGAGGCACGGCCCAAACUCCUACGGGAGGCAGCAGGGGGGAAUCUUGCGCAAUGGGCGAAAGCCUGACGCAGCCAGGCCGCGUGAAUGAUGAAGGUCUUAGGAUUGUAAAAUUCUUUCACCGGGGACGAUAAUGACGGUACCCGGAGAAGAAGCCCCGGCUAACUUCGUG